RNAcentral lists this ribosomal RNA (421 nucleotides) under uncultured archaeon. Its description in RNAcentral is "partial 16S ribosomal RNA". It matches the Rfam family "Archaeal small subunit ribosomal RNA", at positions 323 to 746 of the family's 1478-position model. The record is from RNAcentral.
CUACGGGUGGCAGCAGUUAGGAAUAAUCUACAAUGCGCGCAAGCGUGAUAGUUUGAGCCAGAGUGCUUUUCAUUAGAAAAGCUUUUGCCAAAUGUAAAAAGUUUGGCGAAUAAGGACUGGGUAAGACUAGUGCCAGCCGCCGCGGUAAUACUAGCGGUCCAAGUCGCAGCCAUUUUUAUUGGGUCUAAAACAUCCGUAGCUUGCCAAAUAAGUUUCUUGUGAAAUUUUAUGUCUCAAACAUGAAGCGUGCAAAAAGUACUGUUUGGCUAGAGACUGGUAGGCGUGAGAAGUAUGUUCAGAGUAGCGGUAAAAUGUGUUAAUCCUGGACAGACUAACGAUAGCGAAGGCAUCUCACGAGAACAGUUCUGACAGUAAGGGAUGAAGGCCAGGGGCGCAAAACGGAUUAGAUACCCGUGUAGUC